GACGAACGCUGGCGGCAUGCCUAACACAUGCAAGUCGAACGGCAGCACGGGUGCUUGCACCUGGUGGCGAGUGGCGAACGGGUGAGUAAUACAUCGGAACGUACCUUAUCGUGGGGGAUAACGCAGCGAAAGCUGUGCUAAUACCGCAUACGCCCUGAGGGGGAAAGCGGGGGAUCGCAAGACCUCGCGCGAUUAGAGCGGCCGAUGCCUGAUUAGCUAGUUGGUGGGGUAAAAGCCCACCAAGGCGACGAUCAGUAGCUGGUCUGAGAGGACGAUCAGCCACACUGGGACUGAGACACGGCCCAGACUCCUACGGGAGGCAGCAGUGGGGAAUUUUGGACAAUGGGGGCAACCCUGAUCCAGCAAUGCCGCGUGAGUGAAGAAGGCCUUCGGGUUGUAAAGCUCUUUUGUCAGGGAAGAAACACCGGCUCUAACACAGUCCGGGAAUGACGGUACCUGAAGAAUAAGCACCGGCUAACUACGUGCCAGCCGCCGCGGUAA
This 501-nucleotide ribosomal RNA is filed under the name uncultured bacterium. Its description in RNAcentral is "partial 16S ribosomal RNA". It matches the Rfam family "Bacterial small subunit ribosomal RNA", at positions 28 to 523 of the family's 1533-position model. The record is from RNAcentral.